GAGUGCCUUUAAAAGCACAGCAAACGGCUGCGUAACACGUUGGAACCUGCCCCGAACUCAGGGAUAAUCCGCCGAAAGGCGGACUAAUACCGGAUAGUCCCGAAAGGGUAAAGAUUUAUCGGUUUGGGAGGGGCCUGCGGCCUAUCAGCUAGUUGGUGAGGUAAUGGCUCACCAAGGCAAUGACGGGUAGCUGGUCUGAGAGGACGACCAGCCAGAAUGGGACUGAGACACGGCCCAUACUCC
RNAcentral lists this ribosomal RNA (243 nucleotides) under uncultured bacterium. Its description in RNAcentral is "partial 16S ribosomal RNA". It matches the Rfam family "Bacterial small subunit ribosomal RNA", at positions 64 to 339 of the family's 1533-position model. The record is from RNAcentral.